GAUGAACGCUGGCGGCGUGCCUAAUACAUGCAAGUCGAGCGAACAGACGAGGAGCUUGCUCCUCUGACGUUAGCGGCGGACGGGUGAGUAACACGUGGAUAACCUACCUAUAAGACUGGGAUAACUUCGGGAAACCGGAGCUAAUACCGGAUAAUAUAUUGAACCGCAUGGUUCAAUAGUGAAAGACGGUUUUGCUGUCACUUAUAGAUGGAUCCGCGCCGCAUUAGCUAGUUGGUAAGGUAACGGCUUACCAAGGCAACGAUGCGUAGCCGACCUGAGAGGGUGAUCGGCCCCACUGGAACUGAGACACGGUCCAGACUCCUACGGGAGGCAGCAGUAGGGAAUCUUCCGCAAUGGGCGAAAGCCUGACGGAGCAACGCCGCGUGAGUGAUGAAGGUCUUCGGAUCGUAAAACUCUGUUAUUAGGGAAGAACAAAUGUGUAAGUAACUAUGCACGUCUUGACGGUACCUAAUCAGAAAGCCACGGCUAACUACGUG
Molecule: ribosomal RNA, 497 nt
Filed under: uncultured bacterium
Lineage: Bacteria
Description: partial 16S ribosomal RNA
Rfam family: Bacterial small subunit ribosomal RNA
Source: RNAcentral